This 2714-nucleotide ribosomal RNA is filed under the name Xanthomonas vasicola. Its description in RNAcentral is "bacterial LSU rRNA". It matches the Rfam family "Bacterial large subunit ribosomal RNA". Lineage: Bacteria; Pseudomonadati; Pseudomonadota; Gammaproteobacteria; Lysobacterales; Lysobacteraceae. The record is from RNAcentral.
UCCGAAUGGGGAAACCCACUGCUUCGGCAGUAUCCUGCAGUGAAUUCAUAGCUGCUGGAAGCGAACCCGGUGAACUGAAAUAUCUAAGUAACCGGAGGAAAAGAAAUCAACCGAGAUUCCCUAAGUAGUGACGAGCGAACGGGGAGCAGCCCUUAAGCUGGAAUGGCUUUAGAAAAACAAUCUGGAAAGAUUGGCCAUAGAAGGUGAUAGCCCUGUAUUUAAAAGGGCCACUCCAGUGAAGACGAGUAGGGCGGGGCACGUGAAACCCUGUCUGAAUAUGGGGGGACCAUCCUCCAAGGCUAAAUACUCCUGACCGACCGAUAGUGAACCAGUACCGUGAGGGAAAGGCGAAAAGAACCCCGGAGAGGGGAGUGAAAUAGAUCCUGAAACCGUGUGCGUACAAGCAGUAGGAGCUCGCAAGAGUGACUGCGUACCUUUUGUAUAAUGGGUCAGCGACUUACUGUUCGUGGCAAGCUUAACCGUAUAGGGGAGGCGAAGGGAAACCGAGUCUGAUAAGGGCGCAUAGUCGCGGGCAGUAGACCCGAAACCGGGUGAUCUAGUCAUGGCCAGGGUGAAGGUGCCGUAACAGGUACUGGAGGCCCGAACCCACGUCUGUUGCAAAAGACGGGGAUGAGCUGUGAUUAGGAGUGAAAAGCUAAUCGAACCCGGAGAUAGCUGGUUCUCCUCGAAAGCUAUUUAGGUAGCGCCUCGGACGAAUACUACUGGGGGUAGAGCACUGUUAUGGCUAGGGGGUCAUCGCGACUUACCAAACCAUUGCAAACUCCGAAUACCAGUACGUACUAUCCGGGAGACACACGGCGGGUGCUAACGUCCGUCGUGAAAAGGGAAACAACCCAGACCCACAGCUAAGGUCCCAAAUUCACUGCUAAGUGGAAAACGAUGUGGAAAGGCAUAGACAGCCAGGAGGUUGGCUUAGAAGCAGCCACCCUUUAAAGAAAGCGUAAUAGCUCACUGGUCGAGUCGGUCUGCGCGGAAGAUUUAACGGGGCUAAGCAGUGAACCGAAGCUUGGGGUGCAUAAAACUUGUUUUAUGCGCGGUAGAGGAGCGUUCCGUAAGCCUGCGAAGGUGGAUUGAGAAGUCUGCUGGAGGUAUCGGAAGUGCGAAUGCUGACAUGAGUAACGAUAAUGCGGGUGAAAAGCCCGCACGCCGAAAGCCCAAGGUUUCCUUGCGCAACGUUAAUCGACGCAGGGUUAGUCGGUCCCUAAGGCGAGGGCGAAAGCCGUAGUCGAUGGGAAGCAGGUUAAUAUUCCUGCACCUCGCGUGAGUGCGAUGGAGGGACGGAGAAGGUUAGGUGUACCGGGCGUUGGUUGUCCCGGGGAAAGGCGGUAGGUUUGGAUCUUUGGCAAAUCCGGGAUCCUUUAAGACCGAGCACCGAGACGAGCCUUUAUGGCGAAGUCACUGAUACCACGCUUCCAGGAAAAGCUCCUAAGCUUCAGCUCACGAAGACCGUACCGUAAACCGACACAGGUGGGUAGGAUGAGAAUUCUCAGGCGCUUGAGAGAACUCGGGUGAAGGAACUAGGCAACAUGGCACCGUAACUUCGGGAGAAGGUGCACCCUUUUUGGUGGCUCAUGCGAGCUAUAGCUGAAGAGGGUCGCAGAAACCAGGCCGCUGCGACUGUUUAUCAAAAACACAGCACUCUGCAAACACGAAAGUGGACGUAUAGGGUGUGACGCCUGCCCGGUGCUGGAAGGUUAAUUGAUGGGGUCAGCCGCAAGGCGAAGCUCUUGAUCGAAGCCCCAGUAAACGGCGGCCGUAACUAUAACGGUCCUAAGGUAGCGAAAUUCCUUGUCGGGUAAGUUCCGACCUGCACGAAUGGCGUAACGACAGCGGCGCUGUCUCCACCCGAGACUCAGUGAAAUUGAAAUCGCUGUGAAGAUGCAGCGUUCCCGUGGCAAGACGGAAAGACCCCGUGAACCUUUACUAUAGCUUUACACUGAACGUUGAGUUCGUCUGUGUAGGAUAGGUGGGAGGCUAUGAAACUGUGGCGCUAGCUGCAGUGGAGCCAUCCUUGAAAUACCACCCUGUCGUGCUUGACGUUCUAACCUAGGUCCGUUAUCCGGAUCAGGGACCGUGUAUGGUGGGUAGUUUGACUGGGGCGGUCUCCUCCUAAAGAGUAACGGAGGAGCACGAAGGUACGCUCAGCGCGGUCGGACAUCGCGCACUGUGUGCAAAGGCAUAAGCGUGCUUGACUGCAAGAUCGACGGAUCAAGCAGGUACGAAAGUAGGUCUUAGUGAUCCGGUGGUUCUGUAUGGAAGGGCCAUCGCUCAACGGAUAAAAGGUACUCCGGGGAUAACAGGCUGAUACCGCCCAAGAGUUCAUAUCGACGGCGGUGUUUGGCACCUCGAUGUCGGCUCAUCACAUCCUGGGGCUGUAGUCGGUCCCAAGGGUAUGGCUGUUCGCCAUUUAAAGUGGUACGCGAGCUGGGUUCAGAACGUCGUGAGACAGUUCGGUCCCUAUCUGCCAUGGGCGUUGGAAGUUUGAGAGGGGCUGCUCCUAGUACGAGAGGACCGGAGUGGACGAACCUCUGGUGUUCCGGUUGUCACGCCAGUGGCAUUGCCGGGUAGCUAUGUUCGGAAGCGAUAACCGCUGAAAGCAUCUAAGCGGGAAGCGCGCCUCAAGAUGAGACUUCCCGGGGCACAAGCCCCCUAAAGGAACCAUGUAGACUACGUGGUUGAUAGGUCAGGUGUGU